UCGACGCAAGGAUGGCUUAACAGUAGUGAUAUUCGACUAGCCUAGAAUAGGAGAUGAACAGAAGACAAAAGAAAGAGAAAGGAAAGGUUCGACCUAGAAGAGAGAAAGUGAACGGAAAAGAUGCAAAAAAAGAAUGACCUGAAUGGUCAGUUUUAGUUUUGGCACUAGAGAAAAAGAAAGAAAAAGAAAAACCCCCAAAUGCUAGAGAGAAAAUUCGGCACCUAUACACUCACUAAUUGCCGAAAUGCAUACUCUAAAGUCCCCCUUAGCUGAUUCGGCAACAACCUUCUACAACUCAAACUCCCCUUUUUCCUCCUAAAAUCACUCCUCCAAUCCUCUCAUUGAAAU
Molecule: long non-coding RNA, 348 nt
Filed under: Gossypium raimondii (Peruvian cotton)
Lineage: Eukaryota; Viridiplantae; Streptophyta; Magnoliopsida; Malvales; Malvaceae
Description: long non-coding RNA (GRAI_LNC009351)
Source: RNAcentral